UCUCUCUCAUUAAAGCAGCAGCGGAAGCAGGAGCUGCGGCAGCGAGGGGGACGCGUGCUCCCCAAGCCAUCUCCCUCCUCCCCCCUCACAGUCCCUCCUACCCAAACCCUAGAUCCCGUCUCCUUCCCCUUCUCCGCCAUUCCGAUCUCCCUCACCUCUCUCCCUUCGAUUCCUCCUCCUCCUCCGACGACGAUCUCUUCUUCAAUCGAUCCAGAUCUGCCGAAUUCUCCUCCGUAUCGAUCAAAUUCCAUUCUCUAUACGUAGAUUUCUCCCUCCUUUCCAAGGAUUUCUACUUCUUUUUGUCAAAAAAUCUCGCGUUCAAUCGUUUCAAUCCGAUCUCCAAGACUCAUUGCCAGUUCUCAAGGUCUGAUUCUGCGUUUCUUCUCUUGUUUAUUUUAAAGGAUGGUUGGAUCGAUUUUAGAGGCCAAAAUUUUACCUGCAUUGCCACUAGCUGAUAUCUUUUCGAUCACGAAUUCCGAUUUAUGACGGUCGUUCGAUCAUUGCUUAAGAAUUUCACGUUUUCUUGUUUGCCGGAUUCUAAGCUCAUUCUAUUUUUAUCCAAUCUGGGAAUGGGAUCGGGGUAGUGGGAGUUGUUAUGGCAGGGCAAUCGGGCAAUGCUAUGAUUUCCGAGAAGAUGCAGUUUCCGGUCGGCGGCGGCGGUGGCGGCAGCGACCUGCAGCCGCACCAGCGGCUGUGGUUCCCGGAUGAGCGGGAUGGAUUCAUCUCGUGGAUACGGGCGGAGUUCGCGGCGUCCAACGCCAUUAUCGACUCGCUGAUACAUCACCUUCGGGUCAUCGGCGAACCUGGGGAGUACGAUGCCGUGGUUGGGUUCAUCCAGCAGCGGCGCUGCAGCUGGAACCCAGUCCUCCACCUUCAGCAGUACUUCUCGGUCGCCGAGGUCGCGUACAGUCUGCAGCAGGUCGCCUGGAGGAAGCAGCAGAGGCGCUUUGCCCAGCCGAAGGUGGCGGGGAAAGAAUUCAGGAAGCCUGCGUUUGGUUACAGACACAAGUUUGAGAGCGCGAGGGAGAAUCGCAGCAGCUCAGCUUCAUCUGCUGGUUUGGACGCAGAGGGGAAGGGGGAGGAUAAGUUAGGAAAAGAGGGGGAGGAUAAGUUAGGAAAAGAAGAAGAUGACAGGCGAAAGGGCGAAGCCCAACUUCCAGACGGCAAUUGCUCUGUAGUUGCAGCGGAGGAGGGGUUGGAAAAGAAUUGUAGUUCCAUGACAGAUUGCCAAAAGAAAGAUGGAGAAAAGUCGCUUGGAGAUGAGUGUGUUAAGUUGGCGCCUGCAGUCCCUAAUGAUUGCCAGACUUUGCAGACUAAAGAGAAUUGCAACAGCAUGCUUCUCUGGAGUGGUGAAGGUACAAUGCCAAAUCAAGAUGAGAAACAGCAACCUAUUGCCAACCCCAAAGUUUUUGUUAGUAAUGAAAUGUACGAUGGAAAAAUGGUCAAUGUUGUUGAAGGACUCAAGCUUUAUGAAGAGUUAUUUGACCACAUGGAUAUUACAAAACUUGGUUCAUUGGCAAAUGACUUGAGAGCUGCUGGUCAUCGGGGAGAGUUUCAAGGGCAGACAUUUGUGGUUUCGAAGAGACCUGUGAAAGGGCAUGGAAGGGAAAUGAUUCAACUGGGCUUACCCAUUAUUGAAGGAUCUCUAGAGGAUGAAAAUUCUGCUGGGACUUCUAGAGACUGGAAGGUGGAAGCAGUUCCUAGCUUGCUGCAAGAUAUUCUUGAUUGCAUUGUACUGAAAGUUUUGACCGUCAAGCCUGAUUAUUGCAUUAUCGAUUUCUUUAAUGAGGGCGAUCAUUCACACCCUCACAUGUGGCCACCUUGGUAUGGCAGGCCUGUUUGUAGUUUAUUCUUGACAGAAUGUGACAUUGUCUUUGGACAAGUAGUUGGAGGAGACCGUGGGGAUUACAGAGGUUCUCUUAAGCUUUCUCUCUCAGCAGGAUCCCUCCUGGUGAUGCAAGGCAAAAGCGCAGAUCUAGCCAAGCAUGCCAUUCCCUCCCUCUGCAAGCAGCGUGUCCUUCUAACCUUUGGAAAAUCGCAGCCAAAGAAGACCUUUCCAUCUGAAGGUAUGCACUUCCCUUCCUCCGGUGCACCUCCACCCUCACAUUGGGUCACAUCAUCAGGUAGGCCCCCUAAGCAUUACGGAGUGAACCCCACUAGUGGUGUCCUACCGGCCCCUGCCAUCUGUCACCAACACUUGCCUUCCAAUGGAAUACAGCAGCUGUUUAUCGCGCCUGCUCCAGUGCCCCCUGCAGCUGUCCCCUACCCUGCGCCACUGCCUCCUGCAUCUGCUGGAUGGACAGUGGCUGCACCUCAAAUGCACACUUCUCCUCGAUUCCCUAUUCCUGGUACCGGAGUCUUUCUCCCCCCACCUGGCUCAGACCAGCCUCCCCCAUCAUCACACCAGCUCUCAGUAGUGCCAAUUCACACAGAAACUAGCACUCCUCUGCUCGCUUGUUUGGCACCUGAGAAUGAGAAUGAGGUGGAGAAACCGAACUGUAAUAGCAGUGCUUCUCCUAAGAAAAUAACAGAUGGAGUAGGACCAAGAAUGGAGUGCAAUGGCAGCUUGACUGUUGGUGCUGGUGUUGGUGGAAGUAAGGAAGAACAUCAGGCUGUUAGUGCUAAGAAGGUAGGAAAAGGAUGGAGUGCCAAAUUCUGUUCUCUAAGUACUAGCAUGAAGGGAUAAUCUGAGGAACUGCAUGAGUUUGGGGCAAAUGCAAAGAGCGGCAAACAAGUUGCUGAACUAGAACUUCACUCAGCAAAAAAACAGGUUUGAUACAUAUUUUUCGAAGUUUACUUGUUAAUUUUCCAGCUUCCCAGUUUGACAGCAUCGGUGAUGGAGAUGUAUAUGGUAAUAUCAGUGGCACUCUAUGAGAUGAUUUUUGUUUUCCUCUCGGAUCAAUGAUGCUACUAGAAAAAUCAGCAUUCUGCCACCACCACAAGAUUGCUAUGAGCUUC
RNA transcript from Phoenix dactylifera (date palm), 2958 nucleotides. It is a transcript of the gene named RNA demethylase ALKBH10B-like, with no coding region annotated. NCBI's taxonomy places the organism in Eukaryota, Viridiplantae, Streptophyta, Magnoliopsida, Arecales, Arecaceae. The record is from RefSeq and is a predicted model, not a curated record.